GAUAGUCCAGGAACUCAGAAGCAUUUCCAGCUUUGUAAGUUUGUGUGAUAGUUGAGUCAGACCAAAGGAGUUAACAGAAGAAUUCGAGAAACACUAGCCCCAGUAUCUUGAAAUGAAUGGCAAGACACAGAAGCCUACAGCCAAAGGUAGAGAAGAGAGUCUAAAAACUCAAAACGUAUCUAAAAGCUGUGAAGUAGAAGGCCUAGAGACUGCAAGGAAUGAUGAGGACUGCCGUGAACUCUGAAGUGCAUAAUCAUGUGAAAAAAACAAGUGCUAUUUGGAAGAAACAGAUUGUGUUAAUGUGGAAGUAGCUGGAUGCCAGUUUUCUGAGAUUUGUCCAAACAUGGGUGAGUUUACAUGUUGCUAAAGGAUUUUGCAAACGUCAAAAUGUUUUUGUUUAUUAGUUAAGACAUACAAUUCAAAACUCUUUGGC
This is a non-coding RNA of Saimiri boliviensis boliviensis (Bolivian squirrel monkey), 433 nucleotides long. The record is from RefSeq and is a predicted model, not a curated record. Lineage: Eukaryota; Metazoa; Chordata; Mammalia; Primates; Cebidae.